Molecule: non-coding RNA, 73 nt
Organism: Bos taurus (domestic cattle)
Lineage: Eukaryota; Metazoa; Chordata; Mammalia; Artiodactyla; Bovidae
Source: Rfam
UCCCUAGUGGUCCAGUUGUUAGGACUCCAAAUUUCCAAUCCUGGGUGCCCAGGUUCAUUCUCUGGUUGGGGAA